This 504-nucleotide ribosomal RNA is filed under the name uncultured bacterium. RNAcentral describes it as "partial 16S ribosomal RNA". It matches the Rfam family "Bacterial small subunit ribosomal RNA", at positions 30 to 523 of the family's 1533-position model. The record is from RNAcentral.
AUUGAACGCUGGCGGCAGGCCUAACACAUGCAAGUCGAACGGUAGCACAGAGAGCUUGCUCUCGGGUGAUGAGUGGCGGACGGGUGAGUAACGUCUGGGAAACUGCCCGAUGGAGGGGGAUAACUACUGGAAACGGUAGCUAAUACCGCAUAACGUCGCAAGACCAAAGUGGGGGACCUUCGGGCCUCACACCAUCGGAUGUGCCCAGAUGGGAUUAGCUAGUAGGUGGGGUAAUGGCUCACCUAGGCGACGAUCCCUAGCUGGUCUGAGAGGAUGACCAGCAACACGAGAACGGAGACCCGGUCCAGACUCCUACGGGAGGCAGCAGUGGGGAAUAUUGCACAAUGGGCGCAAGCCUGAUGCAGCCAUGCCGCGUGUAUGAAGAAGGCCUUCGGGUUGUAAAGUACUUUCAGCGGGGAGGAAGGCGGUGAAGUUAAUAACUUCACCGAUUGACUUUACCCGCAGAAGAAGCCCCGGCUAACUCCGUGCCAGCAGCCGCCGUAA